RNAcentral lists this ribosomal RNA (874 nucleotides) under uncultured bacterium. RNAcentral's name for it is "bacterial SSU rRNA". It matches the Rfam family "Bacterial small subunit ribosomal RNA", at positions 31 to 895 of the family's 1533-position model. The record is from RNAcentral.
GAACGCUAGCUACAGGCUUAACCAUCAUGCAAGUCCGAGGGGCAGCAUGGAAGAAGCUUGCUUCUUCUGAUGGCGACCGGCGCACGGGUGCGUAACGCGUAUCAAACCUGCCUCAUACUCGGGGAUAGCCUUGCGAAAGUAAGAUUAAUACCCGAUGUUGUUAUGUUACCGCAUGGUGAUAUAACCAAAGAUUUAUCGGUAUGAGAUGGUGAUGCGUCCGAUUAGGUAGUAGGCGGGGUAACGGCCCACCUAGCCUUCGAUCGGUAGGGGUUCUGAGAGGAAGGUCCCCCACACUGGAACUGAGACACGGUCCAGACUCCUACGGGAGGCAGCAGUGAGGAAUAUUGGUCAAUGGACGGAAGUCUGAACCAGCCAAGUAGCGUGCAGGAUGACGGCCCUCUGGGUUGUAAACUGCUUUUAGUUGGGAAUAAAAAAGAGGACGUGUCCUCUAUUGUAUGUACCUUCAGAAAAAGGACCGGCUAAUUCCGUGCCAGCAGCCGCGGUAAUACGGAAAGUCCAGGCGUUAUCCGGAUUUAUUGGGUUUAAAGGGAGCGUAGGCGGAUUAUUAAGUCAGUGGUGAAAGACGGUGGCUCAACCAUCGUUAGCCAUUGAAACUGGUAGUCUUGAGUGCAGACAGGGAUGCUGGAACUCGUGGUGUAGCGGUGAAAUGCUUAGAUAUCACGAUGAACUCCGAUCGCGAAGGCAGGUGUCCGGGCUGCAACUGACGCUGAGGCUCGAAAGUGUGGGUAUCAAACAGGAUUAGAUACCCUGGUAGUCCACACAGUAAACGAUGUAUACUCGCGGUUUGCGAUAGACAGUAAGCCGCCAAGCGAAAGCAUUAAGUAUACCACCUGGGGAGUACGCCGGCAACGGG